UACGUAGGGGGCGAGCGUUGUCCGGAAUUAUUGGGCGUAAAGAGCUCGUAGGCGGCUUGUCACGUCGGGUGUGAAAGCCCGGGGCUUAACCCCGGGUCUGCAUUCGAUACGGGCAGGCUAGAGUGUGGUAGGGGAGAUCGGAAUUCCUGGUGUAGCGGUGAAAUGCGCAGAUAUCGGGAGGAACACCGGUGGCGAAGGCGGUUCUCUGGGCCUGACCUGACGCUGAGGAGCGAAAGCGUGGGGAGCGAACAGG
This 253-nucleotide ribosomal RNA is filed under the name uncultured bacterium. RNAcentral describes it as "partial 16S ribosomal RNA". It matches the Rfam family "Bacterial small subunit ribosomal RNA", at positions 524 to 776 of the family's 1533-position model. The record is from RNAcentral.